Molecule: long non-coding RNA, 454 nt
Filed under: Elaeis guineensis (African oil palm)
Lineage: Eukaryota; Viridiplantae; Streptophyta; Magnoliopsida; Arecales; Arecaceae
Description: long non-coding RNA (EGUI_LNC037724)
Source: RNAcentral
AUCCAAUGGAAUAGCAAUAAGUUGUUUAGCUAGUUCACCUUAGUUUUUGCCAAUCUCUGGGUCAUCUUUUAUGUCAGAUACUUCAAUCGACAGGGCUUCCAUCGAUUUCUUCAUUUUGAUAGCUAUUAAGACACAUUGCCUAGCAAGUAUCUGAUCUCCACACAUUUCUCUGACUUCAUUUUUUGUUGGAAAUUGAACUAACAUAUGGUAGGUGGAGACUACAGCUCUGAGGGCAUUAAAUCCAGGUUGGCCAAGAAUAGCAUUAUAGGCAGAUGAUACUUUGACAACUAGAAAGGUAAGUUGCAUAGUUGACUGUUGGGGUUCUCAUUCUAUGGUGACAGGCUGGAUGAUUUCUCCUUCAAUAGUUAUAGGAUCUCUAGAGAAUCCGAUUAGUGGAGUGCUGACUCACUUUAACCAAUCUAACAUAUUUAUUUUUUGGAAUGCAUCAUAGGAC